GAAGGGGGAUGCAAGCUUUAUCCGGAAUCACUGGGCGUAAAGCGUCUGUAGGUGGUGAUGCAAGUCACUGGUGCAAAACUCUGGCUCAACCGGAGGAAAGCCAGUGAAACUGCAUGACUAGAGUGUGGGAGAGGUAGAAGGAAUUCCCUGAGUAGCGGUGAAAUGCGUAGAUACAGGGAAGAACACCGGAGGCGAAAGCGUUCUACUGGAACACAACUGACACUGAGAGAUGAAAGCUAGGGGAGCGAAUGGG
RNAcentral lists this ribosomal RNA (253 nucleotides) under uncultured bacterium. Its description in RNAcentral is "partial 16S ribosomal RNA". It matches the Rfam family "Bacterial small subunit ribosomal RNA", at positions 524 to 776 of the family's 1533-position model. The record is from RNAcentral.